CCUACGGGAGGCAGCAGUGAGGAAUAUUGGUCAAUGGCCGGAAGGCUGAACCAGCCAAGCCGCGUGAGGGAGGAAGGCGCAGAGCGUCGCAGACCUCAUUUGCCGGGGGACAAAAGGCCGGACUCGUCCGGUCCUGAGGGUACCCGGAGAAAAAGCAUCGGCUAACUCCGUGCCAGCAGCCGCGGUAAUACGGAGGAUGCGAGCGUUAUCCGGAUUCAUUGGGUUUAAAGGGUGCGCAGGCGGGCCAUUAAGCCGGCGGUAAAAUUGCGGGGCUUAACCCCGCCGAGCCGUCGGAACUGGGGGCCUUGAGAGCGGCUGAGGCAUGCGGAAUGCGCGGUGUAGCGGUGAAAUGCAUAGAUAUC
RNAcentral lists this ribosomal RNA (362 nucleotides) under uncultured bacterium. RNAcentral's name for it is "partial 16S ribosomal RNA". It matches the Rfam family "Bacterial small subunit ribosomal RNA", at positions 338 to 698 of the family's 1533-position model. The record is from RNAcentral.